Non-coding RNA from Triticum aestivum (bread wheat), 125 nucleotides. Lineage: Eukaryota; Viridiplantae; Streptophyta; Magnoliopsida; Poales; Poaceae. The record is from Rfam.
UUUGUAUUCCCUCCAUCCGAAAAUACUUAUCAUAAAAAUGGAUGUAUCUAGCCGCAUUUUAGUUCUAGAUAUAUCCAUUUUUAUUCAUUUCUAUGACAAAUAAUUCCAGACGAAGGGAGUACCAA